AACGCGAAGAACCUUACCAAGGCCUGACAUCCCUUGACAGCCAUAGAAAUAUGGUUUCCCUUCGGGGCAAGGAGACAGGUGGUGCAUGGUUGUCGUCAGCUCGUGCCGUGAGAUGUUGGGUUAAGUCCCGCAACGAGCGCAACCCUUAUCAUUAGUUGCCAGCACUAAAGGUGGGAACUCUAAUGAGACUGCCGGGGAUAACUCGGAGGAAGGUGGGGACGACGUCAAAUCAUCAUGCCCCUUAUGUCUUGGGCUACACACGUGCUACAAUGGCCGGUACAAACCGUCGCAAACCCGCGAGGGGGAGCUAAUCGGAAAAAGCCGGCCCCAGUUCGGAUUGCAGUCUGCAACUCGACUGCAUGAAGCUGGAAUCGCUAGUAAUCGCAGAUCAGAACGCUGCGGUGAAUACGUUCCCGGGUCUUGUACACACGC
This 432-nucleotide ribosomal RNA is filed under the name uncultured bacterium. RNAcentral's name for it is "bacterial SSU rRNA". It matches the Rfam family "Bacterial small subunit ribosomal RNA", at positions 958 to 1393 of the family's 1533-position model. The record is from RNAcentral.